GAUGAACGCUGGCGGCGUGCUUAACACAUGCAAGUCGAACGGAAAGGCCCUGCUUUUGUGGGGUGCUCGAGUGGCGAACGGGUGAGUAACACGUGAGUAACCUGCCCUUGACUUUGGGAUAACUUUAGGAAACUGGGGCUAAUACCGGAUAGGAGCUCUUGCUGCAUGGGGGGGGUUGGAAAGUUUCGGCGGUUGGGGAUGGACUCGCGGCUUAUCAGCUUGUUGGUGGGGUAGUGGCUUACCAAGGCUUUGACGGGUAGCCGGCCUGAGAGGGUGACCGGCCACAUUGGGACUGAGAUACGGCCCAGACUCCUACGGGAGGCAGCAGUGGGGAAUAUUGCACAAUGGGCGGAAGCCUGAUGCAGCGACGCCGCGUGCGGGAUGACGGCCUUCGGGUUGUAAACCGCUUUCGCCUGUGACGAAGCGUGAGUGACGGUACUGGGUAAAGAAGCACCGGCUAACUACGUG
RNAcentral lists this ribosomal RNA (468 nucleotides) under uncultured bacterium. Its description in RNAcentral is "partial 16S ribosomal RNA". It matches the Rfam family "Bacterial small subunit ribosomal RNA", at positions 28 to 507 of the family's 1533-position model. The record is from RNAcentral.